AUCACCCCUUUUCCUCUGGAAGCCGGUUCGGUGGGGCUGUCAAUCACAGUCACCCUGACCAGCCUGAAGAGGCACUGGAGUCAAGCAAGGAGCAGUCAUUGCACCCCUAUUGCCCAGUCACUGGGUUGAUGAGUGAGACAACCCUGAUGAAGCUCUACUGAGUUCCUGGAUCCAGCCUGACCUGAAGAGCAAGAGAGGUUCCCACAAGGCAGCCUCCUCCCAUGGACCACGCCUGUCAGCCUUGGUUUUGAUCCAGCCCCACACAAGGCCAACACCCCACUCUCCGGGAGUCAGAGGGAGAUUCUCUGUUUGAGCUGUGAUUGGAGCUCACAACAACCGGAAACAAACUUGUAUAAAGUACCUCGAUCUGCCACAGAUAGUGCUGGGGCUUUGAUGUUAUUCUAGCUGCAUUUUAUAGAUGAGGAAAGUGUGGCUCAGAGAGAAGGGAGCAGGUGUCUCAAGGAAGAAAAAUAUGGGGGCGCUUCUGGCGCAACGUGAUGUCACAGAAUAAAGGCCGGGACCUCAUGGCCGCUCGAAAACUCAACAGUACAGAGAAUGCCAGGACCCUUAAGUGAACCCCUACGAAC
Molecule: long non-coding RNA, 587 nt
Organism: Hyaena hyaena (striped hyena)
Lineage: Eukaryota; Metazoa; Chordata; Mammalia; Carnivora; Hyaenidae
Exons: 3
Source: RefSeq, a predicted model, not a curated record